GAAUGCUUUGAACAGGUGGCUUUGUAAUGUGCAUAUCAGGUAGUGCAAUUUCGGUAGCACAAGCAUUUUAAUGGAUGCUGUUCUUCCCACCCAAGACAAGUAUUUGCCCUCCCAUGUUUAUAAGAUGUCAGAGAUCUCCUUCAUCAGUGUGACAUAGUUAUACUGAGACCAGCUGUAUUUUUCAGUAUCGGCAAGCCUAAGGAGGUGAGAUAGUCGUCUCUUCAGUCUAGGGGGAAUGUAGCUCUCAAGUGGGCUAUAGUGUAGUUGUGCACCCCCAACCCCAUUGCCCGUGUUUUAGUUAUGUUCAAUUUAUAGUAUGUCCCCAUAGGAGCAAAUUUCGCUCAGGAGGUAUGGCAGUGACACUUGAAGCUGCGUGAAUGUUAG
This is a non-coding RNA of Pelobates cultripes (western spadefoot toad), 384 nucleotides long. NCBI's taxonomy places the organism in Eukaryota, Metazoa, Chordata, Amphibia, Anura, Pelobatidae. The record is from the annotation of a GenBank genome assembly.